Long non-coding RNA from Hippocampus comes (tiger tail seahorse), 144 nucleotides. RefSeq lists it as uncharacterized. The record is from RefSeq and is a predicted model, not a curated record. The transcript has 2 exons. NCBI's taxonomy places the organism in Eukaryota, Metazoa, Chordata, Actinopteri, Syngnathiformes, Syngnathidae.
AAUGGCGCGCUGCGCGGAGGAAUUUCACCUCGCUGGUUGGUGUCUGGCCGCCUUGCAUUGCUCCCUACGCGGACAACAAAUUUUAUGGACUGAUGAGAGCAAGAUAAACCUCUACCAAAGUGAUGGAAAGGCCAAAUUAUGAAG